Molecule: ribosomal RNA, 1022 nt
Filed under: Triticum aestivum (bread wheat)
Lineage: Eukaryota; Viridiplantae; Streptophyta; Magnoliopsida; Poales; Poaceae
Description: partial small subunit ribosomal RNA
Source: RNAcentral
CUUUGGAGGGCUAGGUGGUGGAGGGGAGUAAAAGUCGUGGCUUGGUUAGGGCUCGGUGGAGGGCCAGGUUUGUAGGUGGCCCGGUUGUUGGAGGAGGGGAGCAAGAUACUCUAGGUAUCGAGGAGAUGGACGUCGGGGCGCAAAGGGGGAGGUGCUCGUGUCGGGGCUCGCUGAGGGCACGGGCUACCGGAGGCGGGCACGACUUCGAACGGCGGCCCUCUGGGGGUACCGGCAACUUACCUCGAAACGGAGCGGCCUAGGAGCGGCCACGGGGCAGGACCAGAGGACCACGGUAGGGUGCGGGCCCAGGCAGAAACGACGGAGGUAGCAACGCAGGGAUCGGAGCGAGCGCGGGCCUAGGUCCUCAGCGCGCAGUUCAAGCGGCGGCGGUUCUGGGACGGAGUGGCCUAGGCGGAAGAUGACGACCCUUAGCCAAGGGCAACUGGAGCGGGACGGAGUCCACCAGCAGGGCGGCAGCAAACAGCGACCUUCGUGGUCGCGGCGGUGUGGAGCUAACGGACCUUGCGUGCGCGCAGUUCAGGCGAGCGGCGAGAAGGGGCAACUGGCGCAGUCGGGUCGUCACGGUUCUGGAUACUCCGGAGGAUGUGUCUAGACCCGUACCGGGUACGAAACCAAAGCAAGGCCUCAACACUACUAGGCAAGCUGAUGCGGGCAAACAGAAGAAGUACCUGAGCAAGAAGAAGGAACGCCCUAGAGUCCACGGCUACUAUGGCCACGUCCAUUGCGUUGACUCGAGUUCUCCCUCGAGCUACUUUAGCACUAGCAACACAACAAAAGUAAAGGACAGUUAGUCAUCACCUCGGGUCAACCCUGCUAGCCCCUAGAUCGUAAACCCCAACAGAAGAAAAUAAAACCAAGGCAUCAGCCUGGAACAAAUAUAAGACCUACUACAUACAAUAUAAAUACAUAACACACUUCACCGUUAACAUUCGGUUGAGAAAUAGGGAAAGAAUAAGUCAUGUACCCUACACAUUUCUAAAGGGGAGAACGCUGUACGGAUG